Molecule: long non-coding RNA, 384 nt
Filed under: Homo sapiens (human)
Lineage: Eukaryota; Metazoa; Chordata; Mammalia; Primates; Hominidae
Description: non-protein coding lnc-CFL2-1:1
Source: RNAcentral
CAGGGGCGCGGCGGGGCCGGAGAGAGGCGGUCCCCUGGGAGGACGGGGUCUCCCCUCGUUGCCUUUGUAGUGGAGAAGGUGGACAAGUGGCAGUCGGCGUGAUCGCAGGAAGCGGGGCCGGCGCGGGCGGCCGAGGGUCCAGGCGAGCCCGCGGGCGGACGGGAGAUGCCGCUGCUACACCGAAAGCCGUUUGUGAGACAGAAGCCGCCCGCGGACCUGCGGCCCGACGAGGAAGUUUUCUACUGUAAAGUCACCAACGAGAUCUUCCGCCACUACGUGACUUUUUUGAACGAACCAUUCUGUGCAACAGCCUUGUGUGGAGUUGUGCUGUGACGGGUAGACCUGGACUGACGUAUCAGGAAGCACUUGAGUCAGAAAAAAAAG